CGAAUCACAUUGAAACACCAGUUCCCAUAUGAUCACCGAAGUUAAGCAAUGUUGAGACUGGACAUUACCAGAUGAGUGACCUCUUGGAAAUAUCAGG
Molecule: non-coding RNA, 97 nt
Organism: Acanthosepion pharaonis
Lineage: Eukaryota; Metazoa; Mollusca; Cephalopoda; Sepiida; Sepiidae
Source: the annotation of a GenBank genome assembly